Non-coding RNA from Paramuricea clavata, 103 nucleotides. The record is from the annotation of a GenBank genome assembly. Lineage: Eukaryota; Metazoa; Cnidaria; Anthozoa; Malacalcyonacea; Plexauridae.
AUGAUAUUUUCUGUGUUGAUGCAAUGUACUGAGAGUAACAUGACAAGCAUCAUAUUUACCCGAGUACAUUGCAUCAACACAGAAAAUAUCAUGAUUACUAGAU